AUACGGAGGACGCGAGCGUUAUCCGGAUUUAUUGGGCUUAAAGGGUGCGUAGGCUGUGCUGCAAGUCAGUGGUGAAAGACCGGCGCUCAACGCAGGAAGUGCCAUUGAUACUGCAGUGCUGGAGUACCCCUGCCGUGGGAGGAAUGAGUGGUGUAGCGGGGAAAUGCAUAGAUAUCACUCAGAACCCCGAUUGCGAAGGCUACUCACGAAAGGGCAACUGACGCUGAGGCACGAAAGCGUGGGGAUCAAACAGGCUUAGAUUCCCUGGUAGUCCACGCUGUAAACGAUGAUGACUAACUGUCGGCGAUAUACAGUCGGUAGCCAAGCGAAAGCGAUAAGUCAUCCACCUGGGGAGUACGACCGCAAGGUUGAAACUCAAAUGAAUUGGCGGGG
This 393-nucleotide ribosomal RNA is filed under the name uncultured bacterium. RNAcentral's name for it is "partial 16S ribosomal RNA". It matches the Rfam family "Bacterial small subunit ribosomal RNA", at positions 523 to 918 of the family's 1533-position model. The record is from RNAcentral.